This 32-nucleotide ribosomal RNA is filed under the name Pilea sinofasciata. RNAcentral's name for it is "partial 28S ribosomal RNA". Lineage: Eukaryota; Viridiplantae; Streptophyta; Magnoliopsida; Rosales; Urticaceae. The record is from RNAcentral.
CCCCAUCGGGGAGGCGCUUCCAACGCGACCCC